UUGCGUUCCCAUUAUCACGUGACGUCUGACGUCAUCGGUAGUCGAGCGUGAGGACGUUCAUUUUUCCGCCAUCUUGUUACAUCGCAUGGCUGAACACGGCGUGGAUAAACGGGAAUCUAUAAAAUCGGAUGGGGUAACUUUACUGCUGAACAACUUUUCAGGCCAGGUUUUGAAUAAUCCAGGCACAUAAAAAUUAACUCAAUGUGGAAAUGCAAAGACUGUGGUGUCACAAGGCUGACUGUCACUCUAAGUCUGAUAUUCUCUAGAAGAUAUGUGAUGAGAUCUACAAGUAUAAAUCUUAUCCCAGCAGUGCAAACUUUUGUGAAGUUUCAGAGACUCUUAUCAAGAAACAUCCUUGCUUGGCUGAAAAAGGAUCCUUCAAUGGUUGCUACGGGUGGACACAGAGAUUUAAAAUGAAGAUGGGAAACCUACACGCACACAGUUGAAAGGUCUUGGAUGCCCUGAGUUUUUGGCAAAUUCCCUGAAAACCAAAGCCUCAGAUAAUGCUUUUCCAGCAAAAAAAUGUUAAACGACCUAAACGUGGCGAGGCCAAUCAUAUCCCAUACGUACCUGCCGGAUAAAAAAUGACAAAGACGUUUGCCUUACGCAGACGAGAAGUUGUGGAAAACCAACCUAGUGUUCAGGAACUGCAAGAAAGGUGGCCUGCUCUGUUGCUACUAGAGGAGAUUAAUGCUGAUUUUUUGCGCAUCACGACUAUACCUUUACAAUCAAGAUUUUUGGCUUCUUUGGACCGACAGAGCUAUCAGCUUCUCCAGGUUAUUAAGAGCAAAGGUGGAGUUUUCCGUGAAAAAACUAGGGACAAAGUUAAUUUGAAUAUAAUUAAAGUUAUGGAUCAGACUCUGGACAUAGACAUCAGAAGAGAGUGCUGAAGUGCCUUAUCGUGUACCUUGGUGAAGAUGCAAGCUGUCUGAUCAAAGAAUACCAGGCUGACCAGAGGGAGGAAGCGGAGAAAGAAUUUGAAAAGACCACCAUGGCAGUUUUUGAGAUCCGUGAAAGUGAUGCUCUCAGACGUGCAUUGGACAUUUCCAUUGUCAUUGAGGGUGUGGAGGUACUAAAUGAGUUGCCCUCUGUUGCAUGUGCCUGUACCAUGAUGAUUGGACUCAUUUAUGCACUGAACCUUAAAUAUCCUGACGGACUCAAAUAUACCUUUGAAGCCUUUCAGAAAAUAUAUUAAUAGGCAAAUGAGCCGAAGGGUGCAAGACCUCUCUUCUAAGCUUCAGGAGUAACUUUGUUUCCUUUGACCCAGCUACAAUGUUCUGCUGAUGUUGAAUCUUGUUUAAGAUGUUGGACUGUAUAAAAGGCUUUAUACAGAGUUAACUGUUCACUUUGAUUCAGUUGUUUUGGUAAAUUCUAUUAGACGGUUAACUAAACCGGAUUUUUAUUUUUAAGUAGAAUAGUUUACCUAAAAAUAAAAAUUCUUAGGUCGUUUAAUCACCCUCAAGCUAUUAAAGUAUUUAACUUAAUUAGGUUCAUAGACAUUUUAUAAAAAUGAUGAGAGAAGGUUUAUUUUUGUGAACUAUUCCGUGAAGGUGAAUUUUUUUAUUCUACUAUUGGCUAAUUUGGUAGGUGCUUGAUUAAAAGUGGUUGGUUUUAUUAUGCCCAUUUUAAAGUAGUAUUAGGCCAUAUUCACUACACGCUUCUUAUCGUGGCACCUGUCCGUCCAUCUAGUGUUGUCACAAUACCAAACUUCGGUACCAGUCAGUACUAAAUGUGACGAUACUUGCAUUUCCCGCUAUCAUUUUAGAUUAUGAAAGACCUCUGAUUGGCCAUUGUGUUUCCAAGCGAGCGCUUGCUUAACCAAUCCUCGAAAUGCGUCAAAUGAUCAUUGCAUCACACUCUCUACCGAGCGCUUGCACAGAUACACACGGAAGAGUUUGAUUUUGAUACACACAGAAGCAUUUGAAAGUCAAAGCGCUCAUUAGAGAGUGUGAUGCAAUGAUCAUCUCACGCACUCUGGGUUUGGUUGCACAAGAGUUUGGUAAGGACCCAUUCAAAGACAUAUCUGUUGACCUUGGAAACACAAUGGCCAAUCAGAGUUGUUUCAUAAUCUAAAAUGAUAGCGGGAAAUGCAAGUAUCGUCACAUUAAGUACCGCCUGGUACCGAAGUUUGGUAUCGUGUCAACACUGCGUCCAUCCAAACUUGUUUUAACUACACAACAAAACCUUUUCAAUUGUGCUGAGAAGUUAGUUCUAAUUGAUUGUUUGUGGAAAGAUUGUAUGUUCUUCUAAACCUUGAUUCUGAUUCACCUCGAUUUUGAAUUUACAUUGUAAUACAGGGUGUAUUUCUAUACACGUUGUGAAAACUGUUAAACUGUCUGUUGAAAUGUUGUAUUGUGAAAAAAAUUGUCAACGGUUUAUGGUGUGUUAUUAUAGAUAUUAUACACAUUGUAAAAAUGUUGUAUUAUGACACUAACAAAGUGUCAAAAGUUUGACACUUGAAAUAAAA
This is an RNA transcript of Triplophysa dalaica, 2467 nucleotides long. RefSeq lists it as uncharacterized. The record is from RefSeq and is a predicted model, not a curated record. The transcript is spliced from 6 exons. NCBI's taxonomy places the organism in Eukaryota, Metazoa, Chordata, Actinopteri, Cypriniformes, Nemacheilidae.